GUGGGCGCUGGAGAAUUGAGGGGGGCUGCUCCUAGUACGAGAGGACCGGAGUGGACGCAUCACUGGUGUUCGGGUUGUCAUGCCAAUGGCACUGCCCGGUAGCUAAAUGCGGAAGAGAUAAGUGCUGAAAGCAUCUAAGCACGAAACUUGCCCCGAGAUGAGUUCUCCCUGACUCCUUGAGAGUCCUGAAGGAACGUUGAAGACGACGACGUUGAUAGGCCGGGUGUGUAAGCGCAGCGAUGCGUUGAGCUAACCGGUACUAAUGAACCGUGAGGCUUAACCUU
Molecule: ribosomal RNA, 284 nt
Filed under: Escherichia coli
Lineage: Bacteria; Pseudomonadati; Pseudomonadota; Gammaproteobacteria; Enterobacterales; Enterobacteriaceae
Description: partial 23S ribosomal RNA
Rfam family: Bacterial large subunit ribosomal RNA
Source: RNAcentral